GCACCCAUAGCUCAAUUGGAUAGAGCAUCUGACUACGGAUCAGAAGGUUAGAGGUUCGAGUCCUCUUGGGUGCACCA
Molecule: transfer RNA, 77 nt
Filed under: Acidobacteriota bacterium
Lineage: Bacteria; Pseudomonadati; Acidobacteriota
Also listed under: 2 other names
Description: tRNA-Arg
Rfam family: tRNA
About the family: Transfer RNA (tRNA) molecules are approximately 80 nucleotides in length.
Source: RNAcentral